UGGGAAUUUUGGACGAAUUGGGGCAACCGUGAUCCAGCAAUGCCGCGUGUGUGAAGAAGGCCUUCGGGUUGUAAAGCACUUUUGUCCGGAAAGAAAACGCCGUGGUUAAUACCCGUGGCGGAUGACGGUACCGGAAGAAUAAGCACCGGCUAACUACGUGCCAGCAGCCGCGGUAAUACGUAGGGUGCAAGCGUUAAUCGGAAUUACUGGGCGUAAAGCGUGCGCAGGCGGUCCGCUAAGACAGAUGUGAAAUCCCCGGGCUUAACCUGGGAACUGCAUUUGUGACUGGCGGGCUAGAGUAUGGCAGAGGGGGGUUAGAAUUCCACGUGUAGCAGUGAAAUGCGUAGAGAUGUGGAGGAAUACCGAUGGCGAAGGCAGCCCCCUGGGCCAAUACUGACGCUCAUGCACGAAAGCGUGGGGGAGCAAACAGGAUUAGAUACCCUGGUAUCCACGCCCUAAACGAUGU
RNAcentral lists this ribosomal RNA (466 nucleotides) under uncultured bacterium. Its description in RNAcentral is "partial 16S ribosomal RNA". It matches the Rfam family "Bacterial small subunit ribosomal RNA", at positions 356 to 812 of the family's 1533-position model. The record is from RNAcentral.